CCUACGGGUGGCUGCAGUGGGGAAUAUUGCACAAUGGGGGAAACCCUGAUGCAGCGACGCCGCGUGAGGGAAGAAGGAUUUCGGUAUGUAAAGCUCUAUCAGAAGGGAAGAAAAUGACGGUACCUGAUUAAGAAGCCACGGACAACUACGUGCCAGCAGCCGCGGGAAUACGGCGGGGGCAAGCGUUAUCCGGAUUUACUGGGUGUAAAGGGUGCGUAGGCGGGAGAACAAGUCUGGUGUGAAAUGCCGGGGCUGAACACCGGAAGAGCGUUGGAAACUGUGCAGCUGGAUGGCAGGUGAGGUAGGUGGAAUGCCUGGUGUAGCGGUGAAAUGCGUAGAUAUUAGGAGGAAUACCAGUGGCGAAGGCGGCUUACUGGACUGUAACUGACGUGGAGGCUCGAAAGCGUGGGGAGCAAACAGGAUUAGAUACCCGGGUAGUC
This 440-nucleotide ribosomal RNA is filed under the name uncultured bacterium. RNAcentral describes it as "partial 16S ribosomal RNA". It matches the Rfam family "Bacterial small subunit ribosomal RNA", at positions 338 to 795 of the family's 1533-position model. The record is from RNAcentral.